GAUGUACGCUGGCGGCGUGCCUAAUACAUGCAAGUCGAGCGAACAGAUGAGGAGCUUGCUCCUCUGACGUUAGCGGCGGACGGGUGAGUAACACGUGGAUAACCUACCUAUAAGACUGGGAUAACUUCGGGAAACCGGAGCUAAUACCGGAUAAUAUAUUGAACCGCAUGGUUCAAUAGUGAAAGACGGUUUUGCUGUCACUUAUAGAUGGAUCCGCGCCGCAUUAGCUAGUUGGAAAGGUAACGGCUUACCAAGGCAACGAUGCGUAGCCGACCUGAGAGGGUGAUCGGCCACACUGGAACUGAGACACGGUCCAGACUCCUACGGGAGGCAGCAGUAGGGAAUCUUCCGCAAUGGGCGAAAGCCUGACGGAGCAACGCCGCGUGAGUGAUGAAGGUCUUCGGAUCGUAAAACUCUGUUAUUAGGGAAGAACAAAUGUGUAAGUAACUAUGCACGUCUUGACGGUACCUAAUCAGAAAGCCACGGCUAACUACGUG
RNAcentral lists this ribosomal RNA (497 nucleotides) under uncultured bacterium. RNAcentral's name for it is "partial 16S ribosomal RNA". It matches the Rfam family "Bacterial small subunit ribosomal RNA", at positions 28 to 507 of the family's 1533-position model. The record is from RNAcentral.